This is an unclassified non-coding RNA of Cyanistes caeruleus (blue tit), 302 nucleotides long. Its record names the gene 7SK. It matches the Rfam family "7SK RNA". From Rfam's summary of the family: 7SK was discovered as an abundant small nuclear RNA in the mid-70s but a possible function has only recently been suggested. Two independent studies have found that 7SK RNA binds the CDK9/cyclin T complex (known as elongation factor P-TEFb). Lineage: Eukaryota; Metazoa; Chordata; Aves; Passeriformes; Paridae. The record is from Ensembl.
UGAUGUGAGGGCCAUCUGCCUGUGACACCCGUCACCACACUGAUCUCCAGCCUUGAGUCAGCCCAUGUGCCUGCCCAAGCCCAGGUCCCCUUCCUCACCCAGCGCUCCAUAUGCAUCCCUCCCAAUGCUGCUCGGUCACAGAGGACGACCUCCCCAAUACAGACAGUACAUUUUAUCACUCAAGGCCAUUUGGCAGCCGUGCUCUCUGCCACAACCUCCCAACCAGCCCAAGGCAUUAGGACUGCAUUUCUAGGGCUUUCCCUGUAGUCAUAAGAAAAAUUUUGGUAAAAUAAGACUGAAAU